RNAcentral lists this ribosomal RNA (406 nucleotides) under uncultured bacterium. RNAcentral describes it as "partial 16S ribosomal RNA". It matches the Rfam family "Bacterial small subunit ribosomal RNA", at positions 30 to 526 of the family's 1533-position model. The record is from RNAcentral.
AUUGAACGCUGGCGGCCGGCCUAACACAUGCAAGUCGAACGAGUGGCGGACGGGUGAGUAAUGUCUGGGAAACUGCCUGAUGGAGGGGGAUAACUACUGGAAACGGUAGCUAAUACCGCAUACCAUCGGAUGUGCGCAGAUGGGAUUAGCUAGUAGGUGGGGUAAAGGCUAACCUAGGCGACGAUCCAUAGCUGGUCUGAGAGGAUGACCAGCCACCCUGGAACUGAGACACGGUCCAGACUCCUCCGUGGGGCAGCAGUUGGGAAUAUUGCACAAUGGGCGCAAGCCGGAUGCAGCCAUGCCGCGUGUAUGAAGAAGGCCUUCGGGUUGUAAAGUACUGUCAGCGGGGAGGCGUUACCCGCAGAAGAAGCACCGGCUAACUCCGUGCCAGCAGCCGCGGUAAUAC